This is a non-coding RNA of Cydia strobilella, 74 nucleotides long. NCBI's taxonomy places the organism in Eukaryota, Metazoa, Arthropoda, Insecta, Lepidoptera, Tortricidae. The record is from the annotation of a RefSeq genome assembly.
GUUCUUGCUAGCUCAGAUGGAAGAGCACCGGGCUAGCGAUCCGGUGGUCGUGGGUUCAAGUCCCACCCAAAACA